RNAcentral lists this ribosomal RNA (396 nucleotides) under uncultured bacterium. RNAcentral's name for it is "bacterial SSU rRNA". It matches the Rfam family "Bacterial small subunit ribosomal RNA", at positions 107 to 518 of the family's 1533-position model. The record is from RNAcentral.
UGAGUAACGCGUGGGUAACCUGCCUUAGUACAGGGGGAUAACAGUUAGAAAUGACUGCUAAUACCGCAUAAGCGCACAGUAUCGCAUGAUACAGUGUGAAAAGCCGAGACGGUAUAAGAUGGACCCGCGUCUGAUUAGCCAGUUGGCAGGGUAACGGCCUACCAAAGCAACGAUCAGUAGCCGGCCUGAGAGGGUGAACGGCCACAUUGGGACUGAGACACGGCCCAAACUCCUACGGGAGGCAGCAGUGGGGGAUAUUGCACAAUGGGGGGAAACCCUGAUGCAAGCGACGCCGCGUGAGCGAUGAAGUAUUUCGGUAUGUAAAGCUCUAUCAGCAGGGAAGAAAAUGACGGUACCUGACUAAGAAGCUCCGGCUAAAUACGUGCCAGCCGCCGC